AAAUGGAAAGACCGGUACAAGCGAGGUAGGAGAAGAGUUGGCAAAUCCGCUCUUUAAUCUGAAGACGUGAUGUGGACUGAAAAUAAGUAGGGAAGCACGUGAGCUGACUGUCAAGAAAAGCCGCUAUUGUUUGCAGGAUACCCGUACCGUAAACCGACACAGGUGGAUGAGGAGAGAAUCCUAAGGCCGACGGGAGAAGCAUUGUUAAGGAACUCGGCAAAAUGACUCCGUAACUUCGGGAGAAGGAGUGCCAGUAAGAUGGCCGCAGAGAAUUGGCCCAAGCAACUGUUUAGCAAAAACACAGGUCUAUGCAAAACCGAAAGGUGAGGUAUAUGGGCUGACGCCUGCCCGGUGCUGGAAGGUUAAGGGGAGAGGUUAGCGCAAGCGAAGCUUUGAACUUAAGCCCCAGUAAACGGCGGCCGUAACUAUAACGGUCCUAAGGUAGCGAAAUUCCUUGUCGGGUAAGUUCCGACCCGCACGAAAGGCGUAAUGAUUUGGGCACUGUCUCAACAAUGCACCCGGUGAAAUUGAAAUACCAGUGAAGAUGCUGGUUACCUGCGCCAGGACGGAAAGACCCCAUGGAGCUUUACUCCAGCUUGAUACUGGGAUUCGGUAUUGCAUGUACAGGAUAGGUGGGAGGCUAGGAAAUGGUAACGCCAGUUGCCAUGGAGCCAAUGUUGGGAUACCACCCUUGCAGUACUGGGUUUCUAACCAGCAGCCGUGAUCCGGCUGGGGGACAAUGUCAGGUGGGGAGUUUGACUGGGGCGGUCGCCUCCGAAAGGGUAUCGGAGGCGCUCAAAGGUUCCCUCAGAAUGGUUGGAAACCAUUCGAAGAGUGCAAAGGCAGAAGGGAGCUUGACUGCGACACCGACGGGUGGAGCAGGUACGAAAGUAGGACUUAGUGAUCCGGUGGUAUAAAGUGGGAUUGCCAUCGCUCAACGGAUAAAAGCUACCCUGGGAUAACAGGCUUAUCACUCCCAAGAGUUCACAUCGACGGAGUGGUUUGGCACCUCGAUGUCGGCUCAUCGCAUCCUGGGGCUGAAGUAGGUCCCAAGGGUUGGGCUGUUCGCCCAUUAAAGCGGUACGCGAGCUGGGUUCAGAACGUCGUGAGACAGUUCGGUCCCUAUCCGGCGUGGGCGUAAGAUAUUUGAGAGGAGCUGUCCUUAGUACGAGAGGACCGGGAUGGACUGGCCGCUGGUGUAUCUGUUGUCUUACCAAAGGCAUAGCAGAGUAGCCAAGCCGGGAAGGGAUAAACGCUGAAGGCAUCUAAGCGUGAAGCCCCCCUCAAGAUGAGAUAUCUCAUAACGUCAAGUUAGUAAGACCCCUUGAAGACGACGAGGUAGAUAGGGCAGAGGUGGAAGUGUGGUAACACAUGGAGCUGACUGUUACUAAUAGGUCGAGGGCAUAACCGA
This 1411-nucleotide ribosomal RNA is filed under the name metagenome. RNAcentral describes it as "bacterial LSU rRNA". It matches the Rfam family "Bacterial large subunit ribosomal RNA", at positions 1496 to 2925 of the family's 2925-position model. The record is from RNAcentral.